GACGAACGCUGGCGGCGUGCUUAACACAUGCAAGUCGAACGGAAAGGCCCUGCUUUUGUGGGGUGCUCGAGUGGCGAACGGGUGAGUAACACGUGAGUAACCUGCCCUUGACUUUGGGAUAACUUCAGGAAACUGGGGCUAAUACCGGAUAGGAGCUCCUGCUGCAUGGUGGGGGUUGGAAAGUUUCGGCGGCUGGGGAUGGACUCGCGGCUUAUCAGCUUGUUGGUGGGGUAGUGGCUUACCAAGGCUUUGACGGGUAGCCGGCCUGAGAGGGUGACCGGCCACAUUGGGACUGAGAUACGGCCCAGACUCCUACGGGAGGCAGCAGUGGGGAAUAGUGCACAAUGGGCGGAAGCCUGAUGCAGCAACGCCGCGUGCGGGAUGACGGCCUUCGGGUUGUAUACCGCUUUCGCCUGUGACGAAGCGUGAGUGACGGUAAUGGGUAAAGAAGCACCGGCUAACUACGUG
RNAcentral lists this ribosomal RNA (468 nucleotides) under uncultured bacterium. RNAcentral describes it as "partial 16S ribosomal RNA". It matches the Rfam family "Bacterial small subunit ribosomal RNA", at positions 28 to 507 of the family's 1533-position model. The record is from RNAcentral.